This 869-nucleotide long non-coding RNA is filed under the name Cicer arietinum (chickpea). RNAcentral's name for it is "long non-coding RNA (CARI_LNC003788)". Lineage: Eukaryota; Viridiplantae; Streptophyta; Magnoliopsida; Fabales; Fabaceae. The record is from RNAcentral.
AGAAGUAAAGACUUGGGUUUUUGUUAAUGUUUCUGUUAGUGUAUUUGCAUAUUCGUUACAAGAUACAUGAACUACUAAACAAUCCUGCACAAAUAUUAAUUAGUACGCAAAAUAAGAGAUGCAAAAUUUCAUUCAUAAUGGAUAAAUAUCCAUCCCAGUUUUUUAAGACAUAACUACAUUUCUUCUUCGCAAUUGUGGUGAAAAAUACUAACAUAAGCAAUUAGAUGUGUACUCUGUAAAUAUCAAAAUAUCCGUUCUGGUGCGGGUUUUUCAGCUGGAAAUUCAAGUAAUUCUCGAAUCCCUUCACAAACCUGCAUUGAGACAAUGGAAAGUUAUCAAAACUCUGUAAAAUUAUUAUUAUUUGGACAGGAAUAGAUUAAAGUUUUUCUCAAAUAUCUUCAGGGAAAGAUCAAUUAUGGGUCAGUUCCAAAAUUUUCUCAAACAUUACCGACAUUUUCCUUGAUAUUUCUAGCAGUAGAACGAACCAUAACCAUGGGUAUGCUUAGUGGGUUUGAAGGCUACAUUGGUCCAGAUGAAAAGCAAAUAAAGUCAUGUGGGUUAGAUAAUAGAUUCUCAUUAGAGGAAAGGCCGGGGAGAAACUUUCUCCAUCCCAACAGGACUUCAAAUGUAAACUUUCAGAAAAAAACUCGUUGUGUCGUCUGAAAGUACACUUCCAGACAAAUUAAGCUGUCCGAAAGUACACUUCCAGAAAUAUGUGUGGGUUUUUAACAAUUUGGGUGUGAAACUGUGAAAGUAGCGUGAUUGCUCAUCCAUCCCCAAAUGUUUGCUCAUUUUUUUGCCUUUUUACCGGAUCCUAGCUUUCGGUAGUGUAAAAUAAACUACCAGAUUCUAACUUCCGGUAUUGUAUU